GCCCAAGUAGCUCAGUGGUAGAGCACUUCUUUGGUAAAGAAGAGGUCGGCAGUUCAAUUCUGCUCUUGGGCUCCA
Molecule: transfer RNA, 75 nt
Filed under: Chthonomonas sp.
Lineage: Bacteria; Bacillati; Armatimonadota; Chthonomonadia; Chthonomonadales; Chthonomonadaceae
Also listed under: 1 other name
Description: tRNA-Thr
Rfam family: tRNA
About the family: Transfer RNA (tRNA) molecules are approximately 80 nucleotides in length. Their secondary structure includes four short double-helical elements and three loops (D, anti-codon, and T loops).
Source: RNAcentral